RNAcentral lists this ribosomal RNA (500 nucleotides) under uncultured bacterium. Its description in RNAcentral is "bacterial SSU rRNA". It matches the Rfam family "Bacterial small subunit ribosomal RNA", at positions 8 to 507 of the family's 1533-position model. The record is from RNAcentral.
AGAGUUUGAUCAUGGCUCAGGAUUAACGCUGGCGGUAUGCCUAACACAUGCAAGUCGAACGGAAUACUAAUUAAGAGAAUCUCACACUAGUGAGAGGUUCUCACGAGUAGUAUUUAGUGGCGGACGGGUGAGUAACACGUUGGAACCUGCCCCGAAGUGGGGAAUAACUGCUCGAAAGAGUAGCUAAUACCCCAUAGUAUCCGGUUUAUCCGGAUUAAAGAUUUAUCGCUUCGGGAGGGGCCUGCGUCUGAUUAGCUAGUUGGUGAGGUAAAAGCUCACCAAGACGACGAUCAGUAGCUGGUUCGAGAGGAUGACCAGCCACACUGGGACUGAGAUACGGCCCAGACUCCUACGGGAGGCAGCAGUGAGGAAUCUUCCACAAUGGACGAAGGUCUGAUGGAGCAAUACCGCGUGCAGGAAGACGCUUUUCGGAGUGUAAACUGCUUUUGUCGUCGAAGAUUAUGACUGUAGACGAAGAAUAAGGACCGGCUAACUACGUG